UCCAGACUCCUACGGGAGGCAGCAGUGAGGAAUAUUGGUCAAUGGCCGAGAGGCUGAACCAGCCAAGUCGCGUGAGGGAUGACGGCCCUACGGGUUGUAAACCUCUUUUGUCGGGGAGCAAAGAGAGUCACGUGUGGCUCAUUGAGAGUACCCGAAGAAAAAGCAUCGGCUAACUCCGUGCCAGCAGCCGCGGUAAUACGGAGGAUCCGAGCGUUAUCCGGAUUUAUUGGGUUUAAAGGGUGCGUAGGCGGCCUUUUAAGUCAGCGGUGAAAGUCUGUGGCUCAACCAUAGAAUUGCCGUUGAAACUGGGGGGCUUGAGUAUGUUUGAGGCAGGCGGAAUGCGUGGUGUAGCGGUGAAAUGCAUAGAUAUCACGCAGAACCCCGAUUGCGAAGGCAGCAUACCGGCGGCGAUCUGACGCUGAGGCACGAAAGCGUGGGUAUCGAACAGGAUUAGAUACCCUAGUA
Molecule: ribosomal RNA, 465 nt
Filed under: uncultured bacterium
Lineage: Bacteria
Description: bacterial SSU rRNA
Rfam family: Bacterial small subunit ribosomal RNA
Source: RNAcentral